UUCAGGACUUGGACCCAAUGGCUGGAAUUGCUUAGGGCCCCAAAAUCCCUGCAGGGAUUCCUUAUUAUUUUCCUUAUUGAGUCCAUGUAAGAUGGAAUAUAAAUCCAAUGUUCAGAAUCUUGGACCACACAUGUAUGCAAAUUAGCACAUAUUUAAUGAUAUAAUAUUUUUUUACACAUUUAAACAUUACAUUUUAGAAAAGCUGUACCUCUAAAACACAUAUAUUUGCAAUUCUUGAUAUAAUUCAUCAAUUGGGGAAAUAUGGUGAUACCAUUAAUUAAUUAAUUAAUUGAUUUAUUGACUUACAUUAAAUAAGUUUCUUCACAAAAGUCUAUUCUGCAAAGUGCAUGAUAUCGGACAAGGGGUGGGGUCAUGCGUGAAAGGGGCGUGGUCAGACGAGCCGUCUAAGCACGUGUAGACAAAGCGCAUCAUCAAUACAACCAAACAUCCGAACGCGGAAAGUUUUGCGCUUAUGGAUUAUAACGACAAAACGGGAUUGCCUCUCAGUGGACCUCCACACGUGUUUGACAAAACUCUCCGAAGAUGACAUCCUGACGUAGGUUCUUGUGUGGGAGCUGAGGUCUUUUCCCAGACACAACAGAAGCCAGAGCCUGUGGUUGAUUUCAUGACUUCCUCCUCAUUGUUUGCCUGUCUGCGUGACUGGAAACCGGCAGUGACAGACCGAUGACUCCGGCCUCUCUUUAACCAGGCUUGUGGAGAAACUGGACCUGGCUCCCUCUGAAGUACUUGAUGUCCAAAUUAUCUCGGCACAAUGCUGCCAAGUCAUUUUGCUGGUUUGCACACAACUCUGCACCUAGUGGUCACUGUGAGUAGCAGUUAACUCUCCCCUCUAUUUAUCUUCCAUUUGGUUACAUUUCAAUAUAAUUAUUUGUUCAGCAGGUGCCUUUAUCCAAACCGUUUUACAAAUACUUCAAAACCAGAAGAGCAGUAUGUACAUUAUGAGCAGAAAAAAAAAAUAAAAAAUUCAGGGGAGAGGGUACUGGUGCAGGGGGUUGUUGGAUGGUGUCCUGUUUACACACACACACACACAAUGAUAACAAAAUAGGUCUAAAUACAUUUUUCAUAUGAGAAAAAAACACCAACCAGGGCUUGACCUUAACUUUUUUUGAUCACCAGCCGCUGUG
Danio rerio (zebrafish) is the source of this 1145-nucleotide non-coding RNA. The record is from RefSeq and is a predicted model, not a curated record. Lineage: Eukaryota; Metazoa; Chordata; Actinopteri; Cypriniformes; Danionidae.